This 468-nucleotide ribosomal RNA is filed under the name uncultured bacterium. RNAcentral's name for it is "partial 16S ribosomal RNA". It matches the Rfam family "Bacterial small subunit ribosomal RNA", at positions 28 to 507 of the family's 1533-position model. The record is from RNAcentral.
GACGAACGCUGGCGGCGUGCUUAACACAUGCAAGUCGAACGGAAAGGCCCUGCUUUUGUGGGGUGCUCGAGUGGCGAACGGGUGAGUAACACGUGAGUAACCUGCCCUUGACUUUGGGAUAACUUCAGGAAACUGGGGCUAAUACCGGAUAGGAGCUCCUGCUGCAUGGUGGGGGUUGGAAAGUUUCGGCGGUUGGGGAUGGACUCGCGGCUUAUCAGCUUGUUGGUGGGGUAGUGGCUUACCAAGGCUUUGACGGGUAGCCGGCCUGAGAGGGUGACCGGCCACAUUGGGACUGAGAGACGGCCCAGACUCCUACGGGAGGCAGCAGUGGGGAAUAUUGCGCAAUGGGCGGAAGCCUGAUGCGGCAACGCCGCGUGCGGGAUGACGGCCUUCGGGUUGUAAACCGCUUUCGCCUGUGACGAAGCGUGAGUGACGGUAAUGGGUAAAGAAGCACCGGCUAACUACGUG